GAUAAAAUCGGAAUAUCUUGUUUGGCUGGUCGCUGUUACUGAAAGCUGUGAACGCUUCCCUCUGGAGUGAUUUCCUCUUCGACACAGAGGCGCGCGCGUUCACGCAGCAGAGCGCUUCCUCUUCCCGUGCUGGUGCCCGCCAGACAAGAACGAUAGAAAAUGGCGAGUCAGUGUAAAAGGCAGCAAUGCACAAUCGACAGGCGCGGCUUUCGGCAGGAACUUGACUCGUGGCGACACAAACUCAUUCACUGUGUAGGUUUUGAGAGCAUUCUCGAAGGUCUGUUUGGUCCAGAGCUGGUAGAAGACCUAAAAUUAUUUAAGGACCUUGAGCCUACAACAGUGUCUGACUGGUCAUUCGAUGAAAACUGUCUAUUCUGCUGUUUAAGACGGGACAAAGUAAAGGAACACUUAAUUGGCUUAAGUGACGAGGGUCCUGAAGAUAGACCAAAACCUCUCUUGGUAAAAGAUCAGACUGCAAUCAGCAGACUAGAGAAACAAGCUGAAGAAUUUCUCAAUGCAGUCCUCUGCAAAAAAGAUGUGCCAAAUUUCUCAGACCCACACAUUCCAGUAGUGGCUCGAGAGAUCCUUCAGAGAAUGAUCCGACAGUUUGCCGCCGAAUAUACCUCAAAAACCAGCUCCCCUCAGGACAGUUGCUCAGAUUUCCAGCCUAACUCUGACCAAAGCCUGCCGACCCCACCCUUGCUCUCAGGGGCUCCUCCUUCUGCCAGCCCUACCACAACCGUGGCUGGACCUGCACACAACCAGAACCCCGUCCUCAGCAAGCUCCUCAUGGCUGACCAGGAUGCUCCUCUUGAUCUCACCAUCAAGAAACCCCUGGCUGUUCCUCGUGACCAAGAUGGAGUUCUUGACUUAUCUAUCAAAAAGAAUCGCUGUAGCAGCAGCCUUCCUGUCCAUAGUCCCUGCCUUUCUCCAGCCACAUCCACGCUGAAAGGUGAAUCUCCAUACUUGAAGGUUUCCAAAGCAAAAGACCUGCAGUCCACCUCCACACUGGAACAGUUCAUGGCCAAACUCUGUCCCCACCAUCAGAGACAGAUAGUAGAUGCUAUAGGUUUUCUACAGACGGAGGUAAAAGCUCUUGCAGCUUCCAAUACACACCAAGACUCUAACUCCACUUCUGGGAUGCAUGGACCUGGUUAUUCCACUGCGAGUGUAGUUACCCCAGAGAAGCCAUGCCCUGAGUUAAGGCUUCCCCCUGAACCCACUUCCAAGUCUGAAGUCCAGGAUGUGUCCCAUUCUGUCCCAAGCAGCUGUGCAAUGAAAAAAGUUCCAGAGAAUGCGGUAUCACUAAAAACAUCUGUUACCGGCCCCGCUUUGGAUCUUCGCAGCCCUGGGUCAGGGAGUAACCAACCAGCUUUGGUCACCCCCACUGCUAAUUCAGUGGAUACAGAUAACAACCUUCGUGGUAAUCAUGCACCUCUCAAGAUGAAAAUCAUGACUAGCAAUGUUGCUGAUGGUAAAAAGUUGUCAUGUGUGCUCAACACCUCUCUUUCAUCUCACUCUGACUCUUUGGAGGACAGAGAGGAAAACUCAAAUUCAUCCAGCAGAACAGAGACUCAUAGUGCUAGACUCAGCUCCUCUGUGAAAAGACACAUUCAGACUAGUCACACACACCAGGCUAAGCAGAGAGAGACUCCUGGGCAUGCCAGAUAUACACCAGCAAAACUGUCUUCAGUCCACAGGACCAUUCCUUCAGAUUCUCCACGGACUGCCAGGAAAACCAUCAAGGCAUCUUCUGAUCAUCGGGCCCGGGAUUCUGCUUGUAGGGGACUGCCUGACCCUGAUCUUGGCCACUGUGACAUUGUUUAUAUUGACAAACCUAUUACAGAGUUUAUUAAGAAACAGCAGCGCAUGAUGGUCCCACGCCGCAAUGCCAGAAAAAGUACCAGAGGACAUAUGUAUUCAGACGAUAUCUGUGUGUUAAAAACUGUACGUACGUUGGCUGGGAGGGGCAACUGUCCUAAUCCAAUGCCAGAGCUGAUCACAUUGGUCACCCCAAAACAGAUACUUUCAAAGCCCGAAGGUGUACCACCCGUGGAUAUGCCUUUUGCUGGAGCGUGCAGGGAGUCAAUGAAUCAACAAAUGUCCACAGAAGAGUCAGAUGAGAGUGUGAUACCAGGAGCAGGAGAUAUGGUGGAGGUAGCAGCCAGUGAAGUGGAUGUUAUAGUUGAAACUAGUCAGACAGAUCAGUGCCAGAGCAAGGGACACUCUACUCCUCCGUCUCCGAUCCCUACACAGGACAAAGAAACAGACAUCAGCACAGACGUAGAACAGGAUACAACUGCAGAUUCAGGGUUGACAACAGCAAGUGAAGAAUGUGUUGCUCAGGCUCCACUUGAAGCAGAAAAAGUUAAUGAUGCUGAGACUCAAGAGGACAUACGUGAAAGUACAACGCAAAUAGUGGCAGAAACAGUAGUGCAACCAUUAGAGAAUAUUGCCACAGCUGAGCUCCAGCUUUCAUCAGAUGAACUGACCAACAGUGAUCCCAUUCUCCAGCAAAAUAGCACCCCAUCACCACUGAAUGAAGUUGAGGAAGAGAUGGAGGAAAAUAAACUGGAGGAAAUACAAGAUGAGCAACCUCAGGAACCAGAGACUGAAAUAGACUACGAUAAGUUUGAUGUAACAGAAGAGUUGAACACCACAGAUUCAGCAGAGGUGGUGAAAGAGCCAGAAACCAAAACAAAUGAAACAGUUGACAGUGUCAUGCCAUUAGUGACUGAAGAUGAUAAUGAUGAUAACUAUGACGUGUCCUCAAAGACACUUGAUGCUCUCUUGAAGGAAUUACCCCCUUGGCGUAGAAAAAAAGGCACUGUAAUCACACUACCAAAGCGAUUAAGACAAACAGAAACAGUGGUAGUGGGUUAUGUUAAUGGUAGACCCAUAUCAGCCUCUGACAGAAGUCUGCGUCGUAGAUCAAGUAACAGCACCACAUCACCAAAUAAAACCCCAGUGAAAUCUAGUCAUAAUGUAUCCAACAAGGCUGCUCUUGCUUCAAAUGUUGUUUUAAAUAUUGAAAACAAAAAUCUGGACAAACAGCUACCUGAAACACACAUAUCUAUAGGAUCAGUGGAAACUCCAACUUUUAUUCAGCAGGACAAAGAAACAUCAUCUGCCACGCCAUCAAAGUCAACCCCUAAAUUACCCUCAAAGAUUAAACAAAUACAGAAACAAAAGAGAGGUCAGAGACUUCAGGAUAGUUUGCCUGUCCUCUCUGAUCAGACUGGUGAUCAUCCUCAGAACACCGAAUCCAAGAGGCAACUUAGAUCAGCUGGCACACCAGUUUCACUGCCCACUUCAGAUGCUGUCACGUCAGUUUUAUGUCCGAAACAUACUACUGCUGAUGCUCAUCCAUCUGCAGAACACCUCCCCCCUCCUCCUCCGCUUCCUUUUAUUUCUCCAAGCAUGCCAUCUCCCCCUGCAGUCUCUGAACAGUACCAACAGGACAUAGUCCCAGAGGCAGCUGUGGAAUUAAACACUGAAAAAUCUCAGUCGGUAGAGACAGUCUCUGAAGAAAUACAAAAAACCGAAGGUGAAAGUAAAUUACAGGCCAAACAGAAACUAAGGUCUGCAAAGGCUGUGGUAGAUGACAGUAAUAGUGAGAAACUGCAUCUUGGUGGUGAGGUGUCAAGCCCUGUGAAGACUGAAUUACAAACACAGAUUAUGCCAUUAAGAAGUAAACGGGUUCUCCGAAAGGAGACGGAAGCAGGAGAUGUCUCUUUCCUACAGAAGCCAAAUGUAGAAUCCAUAGGAGACAGGUCUGCAAGUGGAGAUGAUAGCAGUUCUUCCAUUUCAGACAAACCCACAAGAAUGCCGUUAAGGAGUGAAGGUAGUAAGCCAGACACAUCCCAGCAGUCUGGUAUUCAGUCACCACCAGCAGACAACAAGAAAUUAGCUUUGAGAUCACAGAGACUGGCUACCCCUUCUAACAGUGGUCUUGCUGUAGCUGGAAGACAGAAUGAUGUGGCUUCAAUUAUCAGAAUAAAGCCUGAAAAAAUAAUUCAAGCUCAGGUGAAAGCCCCUCCAGUUUCUGUAGCGUCAGUGCGUGCUCACAGCUCAGCUAUCCCUUUCGUUACACCGAGACCUGAGCCCCCAAAACAAACUGCUAAUAAAUUCUUUGAGACUCUAACUGGAGAAGAACACCAACAUCUAAUUACAAAUCUGAAUGUUAAGUAUGAUAAAAUGCAAAAAGGUUGGGUACAAAUGGACAAAGAGGGUCAGCCGGCGACAAAACACAAAAACAAAUCAGACAGACAGGCAGCUAUAUGGAAGAGUAAACGCAGGGCACGAAAAACAAAGUCUUUAGAGCACCAGAAAUACUCACCAGUCCAAAUGCUUUUCAUGAAAGGUUUUAAUCUCACCAGUAUUUGUCGCUGGUUCCUUGAAUCAACAGAAACAAAGUCCCUUGUCAUUGUGAAGAAGGUGAAUACACGUCUUCCAUCAGAAGCUCAGCUAUGCUUCCACAGCUCGUCUAGUGCUUCAGGGACCUCACAGGGGGUAUUUCCAAGCCUACAGGCAGAGCGCUUAAAGAAACAUUUGAAAAAGUUUGCCAUUGCCUCUCCUGUAAAGAGCAACCCCAAGAGUCAGAAACUGAUUGCUAAAGCAUUAGAGCAAGAGGCCCAAGCAGUCAAAGGGAAAGAAAGAAGAGAACUUCCAAGUACUACUCAGACUUUGGCUAAAUCGCACUCCUCUGAAGCCCUCGUUCAGAUAGGUGAACCCCAGAAAUCCUCUGGUAAAUCGAAGAAUCCGGCUAGUGCAAGGAUCUUACGGAAAUACUCUAAUAUUCGAGAGAAGAUGCAGGUUCAGCAAACCAGUGUCCGACUGAAAGAGGCCUCAAAAACCUUAAGAGCCAACAGUAUGAAAAGACUUGCACCCACAAAGUCUGCCGCUAAGUCAAAUCUGAAACGUUCUCUGAAGGCGCAGAAAUUACCCCUGCCUGUCCGUAAACAAAUGAAAGCAUCUGCAGGAAAAAUUGAAAGAAGAAAAACAUUGGCUGGCAAAAAACGCGCUAAGCACCCUGUUCAAAUGAGAGCAGUCAAGGGUCAGGGCACUAGUAGGGCCUCAAGAGAUGCAACAAAAAAAGAAUUGCCAAAGAGAUGUUCUCAACGACUAGGGUCUCCUAAAACAUCUGAACAUAAACUCGUCGACGCAUCUAAAAGCAAGGUCGACAAUAAAAAACAAAUUGAAGCAGAGAAAGUGGAAGUGGAAAAACCCGCUGUGAACAAAAUGAAUGCUGCAAAAGUCCAAACAAAGGAAUCCUCACACCCUACAGUCGGUGAAAUCAAAGGUACCGAGAAUGCUAUCGAACCCCCACAACAGAGCGUGGAUGCCAAGGUUCUGAGUUCACCUGACCAAGUAUUAACAAGGUCCCAGAGAAAAAUGGAGGCAACGGUCCCUCUGAGUGGGAGCCCCAGUCCCGCUUCAAAGAAGGCCAAAAAGUCUGCAAAAACGCAAAACACAUCUCCUAAAUCAGUCAGGAAAGCUGAGGAAUCCACGAGAAGUGGGACUUUAAAGUCCCCUGCAAAGAGAAGUCAUGCAGCCUUGUUGCCACGCAGUGCAACAAAAUCGGCAACAAAGAGAGCUCAGGAGCUUUCAGAGUCCCCAGCUAAGCGCACCAGGACAUCACUCUCGAAAUAACAUGGACCCGCAGAGCUGCAGAGAGUGAUCUUGUUUAUUUAGAGGAUUCUUUGAUUUCCUUUUAUCUGGAAUAUAUUCAGAAGGACUCUCACCAAACUCUUCAGAGGAUACCUUUUUCAGGAUGCAAAUAUGUGUGAAGAAGGAACAGAAUUUUCAAGCUUUUGUAAAGCUUCAGUGUGAAAAUACAAAUGUGAUAGAUUAUUUGAUGAGCAUUUGCUCCGUUCAGGGACUACACACAAGUCCUACACGAUGUCUAGCAGAUGUAGUUGCUGUUUGGCUUUAUGUUUCAGCACUCUAUGACACGGCUGGAGGUAACAAUAGCCUAUCAAGCCUCAUCAGUAGUUGGGAUAACAGGCAUCAAACUUUGAUGUAGUUAACAAGGUGACCAUAAAAUCAUUCACCAUCCUUUUUUUUGUUAUGUUUUGGAUAUUCAUGAUUAUUGUUUUGGAUGACUGCAUUUACUAGUUAAGAGUUUGCUAUGAGAAGGGAGAUCAUCUUUAGCAUGAAAAAAAAUGUACUUGCAGUAAGUAGGCAGCUUGUAUCUCCAGCCUGUCUUCCAAUUGCAACAUUGUGAAUAUGUGACUGUUGUGAACAGGUGCCUUAUUUAUGAAGUGUAAAGUAAUAGAAUGUGUAAAAUGUGAACUCUCCUGUCCUUUAGUUGAAACAGCUUUCAGUUCCUGGAGGGGCAGUCAACAUUCAUUUGCUUCACGGAGUGUGUGCUAAUAGUUUCCGUUCCACAUGAUAUGUGCCUUUAAGUCUUAUGCUGAUUGAGGCACAUAUUGUGUGGAACGGAAACUAUUAGAUUAGAUUUUCUGAUUUACUCUUACCUGACAGGUCUAUUUUCAUAUGCCUGUUUUCCAGCAGCAUUAAUAUAAAAUUGUUCUUAUAUUUGUAUUAGAUGUUAAAGCAAAUACGAGUUUGCGUUGUCCAGAGAGACAGGCGUGCUCUGUGUGUGUCAUGGCAGUUGUUUGUAUGUUUUAUGUUGUUUUGGAUCAGUUUUCGUGACUGUGUAUCUCUGCAGUUACUCCAGGCCAUUGCACCCCUUGUUCUCUGCUCAUAAUAGUGACUUCAGUUUGAGUAUUUUACCUUCUUCUGCAUGUGUUAAAGUCUUGUUAAUGUGCAAACCGUUUCAGCAACUCAACUUACUAGAACUGAAAAUUCAGAACUAUAUAUUUAUACAUUUGAUCUUUGAAUAUAUUAACCCCAUGUAAGACCAUGUGCACAUUCAGUGCCCGUCAAGAUGCUGGAGUGAAACAUCAUCUGAGAUUACUUUGGAAGUAUUGUUGACAAAGUGAUAAGCCAAUAUUCCAAACAACAAAGGCUUGGAAAGUAUAUAUGUGUAUACUUGAUUGGUUAAUAUAAUUCCAUUAAUGGCACAUUACAGGAUGAUAAAUAGCUUUCCUGAUUAUUUUUAAGUUGGAUAUGAAGUUUUUGGGGUAGUCUAGUCACAUUUCUGAGUUGUUGCAGUUUUAUUGUUAUGCUUUUUUCUGUUUUAAUUGUCAGUGACUGUCAGGCAGAUGUUCUCAUAAUGUGAAGUUUCGUUACUUCCACAGUAGUAACUUACAUUAGUGUGUUGUCAAAGGAAAAAUACCAUUUUUAGCACAGUGUUAUUUUUUUAUUAUGGUCAUUUCUCUUUGGAGGAUAAAUCAUCUGUAAAUGCAAAACAUGUCUGUCAUGUUUUUAUUGUUAUUUAAGAACUCCAUGUAGGCUAAUGAAUUUAGCAAAUCUAAAACAGCCCACCAAAUAUCAGACUUGAACAUGUUUAUUUACAGUUGCUAUUUAAAGAUUAUGAUUUUGUAUAUUAGAAAGAAAUAACUGCUUUAUUUGUGGUAAUCCCAAGAAUGAUACAUCUUUAUGUUAAAAACUUUGUAUUUUUGCUGGAGUUGAUAUAAAGAUGUUUGAAUUUUACGUCCGCUUCCUUGGCUCUUUCGUAACAGUGUUUUAAUGUUAUUUAAUCAGAGAAAGUUGAACUAAAGAAGGAUCUAAUAAGAUGAUGUUAGUAAAAGAAGUGGACAGAAUGAGCCGGUGAAAACUAAGGAGCUUGAUAAACUUGAAACAAACUAGGUACCUUUGAUGCUGAAGUAUUAAUAGAGUUCUGAAUGGCUUGAGUGUGAGUUCAAGACAACUAGGCAGUUGAGGCCCCCAUUCUCCUGGUGGCCUGUGCCUUUAUGGCAAGUCUGGCAUUUUGUUGCCAAUGAAGGCAUUGCAUGUGAUGGUACCUACCAUGACUUGCCAUACGGCUCAUGAUCGAGAGUCCUGAGAAACACAGGAAGCUCCUACUGUGAGACAGAUUGGUAAACAGUUGGCCUCCAACACCUUGGUCUCUGUGGAGAACUGGGGGUGAAUGAAUGAUUUCACCAAAAUCAAUAUGGCAUGAGAGACAUUGGUGAUUCAUUCACCUUUUUAGUGAAAUGUAAAAGUAGUCUAUCUAACUGAGGCUGGAGAGACAAGACAGAAAUACUGAUUGUUUUAUUUUGUUAAGUUGAUGGGUCGAGCCUGUGCUAUCUGAAUGGGUCCAACCCAUGAGAGCAUCUUUUCGUACAUUUUUUAAGCCUGUAUUUGUUUACAUUUCCUGUUAGCAAUGUGUAGACAAGUAUCACUGGAGUGCUUUGAUACUUAAAAUAUAAUGAUUCUCAGGCAAGUCGUGGAAAUGCAAGAAGCUUACUGUUUUUCCCCUAUGAUUUCUAAGCAGAUGUGCAGACGUUUAUUCAUGAUAGGCAUCAGAUUUUACUCUGAGAGUGGAACUCACUUGACUGCAGUACCCUGUUGGUCCAACUAAAAUUAAAGUCUAUCUGCCCAGCUGAACUGCUGGAAAAAAAAAAAUAGUAUUUUGUUUGUGGUAGUUUUUUCUGAAAAGUCCAUUGAAGUGAUGGUCUCGUAGGAACCAAACGUGUAACAUCACGCUCUUGGAAACACACCAGGAAAGGGUAGCAUGUAUGUGAGGGGGGAGACAAUGACAUGGAAGCACUAGCAACUUUGUCUGCCGUGCAUGAAAAUGGAGCAGAAGGCAUGCAUUUCUUCCUCCAGACAUACCCACGAAUGUUAGGACGAAUGUUAGGAGUAGUACACACCAAAUGUCAAGCUGACCACCAAUUCCUUAGUUUUGACAGGAGACUUGUUGACUCUGAUAAAAUCCAAACAAUUACAAAAAAUUCAGUUUUCAUUUCUCAAGCUUGGAAACAACAGUUAACAAAAGAAAACAUCCCAGACAAUGUCCAAUUCAGUAGCUGUUGAGAAUUGUAGCUUUUCCAAUUUCCAUUUUCUCUAAGCACAUUUAGGUUAUAGGCUUAUAAGUUUUGUUCGGUAGCAAAUAAGACACUGAAUGAAAGAAAAAAAAAUGACAACACAUUCUUAAAAGCACACACAUUUAAGUUUAAUUAAUGAAAAAGAGUGGAGGUUUGGUAAACAUUUUGUCGGUGGCACUACAUACAUUCAGCAUUGGGAGUUUUUCAGUUUAAUCCCACCAUCAAUCCUGUAACAAAAAGCAAACAGACAGAACCCAACCAGGGAUAUAGUUUUUGCACCAGUUCAAUACAACAGAGACAUUGUGUCAUUUACAAUAACAUAUUUAUGUAUAUAGUUCAUAGGAUGGAAAAAUCUGUGUUUUUCUGGUCAUGUGACCAGGUAACUGAAUUACAUCUCAAUAUAGCACAAGCACCACUAAGAUGUCUACCAGGAAGUUGAAUGCACCAGUCCAGUACAGAUCAGUGCAGAGGAAGGAAAGGAGACAUGAAAAGAAAGCCACAUUCGACUAAAGAUGCACCUUUAUGAGGUACACAGCCUAAGAAUUACAGUGACUGUUCACCAGUAUCCUUUAUGAGAUCUUCUUUUAAUGUUAUUGUACACCACUGGCAUCACAACAUCGGCAUGUAAAACAAAGUCAACAUGAGUAGCAAUAUGAAUAGGAGCUCUGUGUGCAUUGUACCAAGCUGAGAUCUGGGUCUGCAGCCUUUCACACUAUAAAGAGACUUUUAACAUUUAGAUCAGCAAAAUGGAUAAACGCAGUCUCAGUCUGCAGGGAGAACAAUGCCUUAAGCUAUCCUGAUGGACUGUCACUUAUCGAACAGUAUGUGAUUUCUAUAUCUUACAUCGGAAACUAAAUUACAGCUAAAAGUUACCACUUCAUGAAUAAGCAUAGGUCAUAUUUAUCUAUACACAUUUAUACAUUCAGGUAUGACUGUUGUGUUCACUGUAAUUGGCACCAUUUCUUCUUUUUUUGUGUGUAGAUAGCCAGCCAGAGCUGACAGACAUUGAAAUGUCCAGACCAUUUAUUUUCAUUUAUUAUCUGUCAGUGCUAGGCAUGUAAUGCUUCACACAGUUGCUAGAACUAGGAUGAUAUAUCUUAACAUGAUCAUUGUCCACAGAAGCAACUUCAUCCUAUUUCUUCUGGCUUGACAGCAGCUUAUGAUCAGAUGAGCUUGACUACUUUAACUUUGUUGAACUAAAAACCCCUUCUUUCUACGGCAAACAUCUCUCCAAUUAAAAUGAUAGAAAUACAACCCAGAACUUCAACAAAAUGAACAUGAAAACAAGCCUCAGAAGCCUUUAAGUGUUAUGGUAAUUACAAGGUAAAUUUGAGGGGGGACAUGUCUUAAUCCCAGAUCUGACCUCUCCAGCUCUUGCAGCAAACGAGGAAUGUCUAAGCCGGAGAGGAGGAAAACACUGUCAUAACUCGUGGGUAAGUGAUGUUACAAAUACCUUUUAUUUUUAUGCUCUUUUUACUCAUAAUUUUACCUUUUUUCAUCUUUUUGAAAUUUUUGCAAAUAUCUGAAAGACAGCAACAUUUAUGCCUUUAACGUUCUACAGGAAAACGCCUUUAGAUAAAAUAAAUAAAAACAAGCACAGACUCUCAUGAAUUAGAUGUAAUAUUCACAUGGAAGACAACAUAUACAAUAUUAAACAUAUUUCUAGACCAAUACUGCCUCCUAUACAACAAGGCCAACCAGCUGCUGUAUUUUUGGCCAAUUAACGUAAUUAAUUACCUUGUUGGCGUAAGUGAGAUCAACAAAUAAAAACACCUAGGGAACCAACUGAAUGCCUUUCCACAAGUCCCAAAGCUUCCAGAAACAGACUUCCUCUUUAACAUAGAAAAAUACUAUACCAAAAUGAAAUACAAAUAUAUAUAUAUAUUAGAAUCUGUUAGGCAUUUCUAUAUAAAGGGUUGUUGGGGAGGAUUGGGGGUUGGGGCGGCUAAAGGAGUUAGGUUACAUCAUGACACAAAAUAUAACAAAAAUAAAAACAAAUCAAUAUAAGAAAUUAGACAGAACAAAACAAAAAUUAGAAGAUGAUUCUGCAACCUUUUGUUUUGUAAUAACAUUUAUAUUGAUAUUAAGAAACUCUAAAUAUUUGUUGGCAAACUGUUCUCCAGACAUGCAACAGUUUGCACAAGUUUAAUACUGCAGGCAUUAAGAGGAGCGGGACUUCACAGCCUCCUGCUCAAAGGGGGUGGGAUUAUGCAAAUCAUCCUAACCCUGAGGCAAUGUAUGCUGGGGGAGUGAUAACCACUGGGCACUGCCAGCGCCAGACUGGUUUGCUGUAUGAACAGAACAGAUAGUUGGACCACACAAGCCCUUUGCACUUUUACAAGCGUCAGUGGCCUGUGUGUAAAUGUAUGUAUGUCAUGCAUGUGUGAUCAUGUACUUCAGAGAGGUGUAUGACUGUCAUUUUCAGUGCUGCUAGUCAGUGCAGUCUCUAUUUUUAUGUAUUUUCUAUGUUGCGGUACUUCACAGCAAACAACUGUGACACCAGACCACCUGGCCUCCAAGCCACGACAUCCGCACGGGAUUAUGUGCCACUCUAACCCUACCUUUUCUUUGUUCACUUCUACAUGUGCAUGUGUGGAUGGAUGACUGUAUCCUGGCAGAGAAAUUGCUACACCAAACCAACACCAACUUUAACUCAACCCAAACCAUAUCCAGCCCAGUCCAGGUAACCCAGCCAAGCUCAACUCAAGAUAGCUUUGCCAAGUCAAACGGUCCAGCUCUCUUCUCAUCCCUCUGUUUCUCUCUUUUUGUCUUUCUCUGCCUUGCUUCUGCCAUUCUUAGCCGGACUGGACUCCACUGUCCUCACUGCCUCCACGAAGUAAAGAUGGUAGAUGGUGGCUAGGCUGUCAGAGGCCUCUCAGAUGGAUGGGGAAUUCACACUGGUCCUCUCUCUCUCUUCCUUUCUUCCUUCCUUUCUUUCUACCUUCUGCUCGGCAGCAGCAGCAGGAAAUGUGAGUGAAUGGUGCUACAUGCAGCCCGCACAGCCGCACUUGAUGGUCUUCUCCACUUCCUCGCUGAAGGAGGUUCCAUCGCUGCAUUCGAAGGUGUAUUUCCGACGCUUCAUUCGUUGGCUGGCGCAGCAGGCCCCAGUGUCGCAAACUCCGGUGCACUCCACCCAAGAGACCAUGCGUGUUGUCUGGCAGAUGGCAUAACCUCUUUGUACCUGGUAGAAGUUUCGCACAGGCUCCCCUCGACACUCAGAUUCUGGAAAACAGAUAUAGAAUACAGAUAUUAGUACGGUGAAAAAAUAAUAACACUUUUUGUAUUUUCCUUUUUGGUUACGUCUUUUUCCCUUAAUAUCACAAACUGACACCAACCUGCGUCACAAAGUUCCCCAGUGUAACCACUUUCACAGUGACAGUAGGCAUCGCCUGUGUCUGAAAUCUGGCAGCGACCAUGUUUGCAAGAAAGACGUCGGCAGGGGUUGAACAGCUCCCCCUGUUGGUUACACAGGGCACCGCGAUAACCCUCUGCACACUCACAGCGGUACGACUGGGUGUCCAGUGGGAUGCACUUUCCAUGGACGCACCUACCAAGAGACAAUCAUCUCAGUCAAAAUUCCUGCACAAUAAAAAAAAUCUAAUUGGAUGUUUCAAAACUUAAAGAGCACUGAAAAAGGUUCCCAAUUGUCACUGGUGAAAAAUAACUGAGUAUAGUACUCAAGUACUAUUUUAAGGUACUUGAACUUGACUUGAGUAAUUUUCAUUUUAUGCUGUCUUAUACUUCUGCUCCACUACAUUUCAGAAACAGUGCAUUUUUUUCCUGACAGAUGUACUUACUGGUUACUUUUAAGAUUUUAUAUUUAAAAAAAGCUUUGAAAAGACAACACCUUAUUAAGGAUUGUUAAGUGGUUUUUAGUCUACGAGAUGUUAACUGCCACUUAAAAUGCAAAGCUAAAAGAACUGUCCAGAAAAUAAAUACUUAUGUGUUUGAUUAUGAUUUUGAGUGCAGGACUUUGUAACAGAGUAUAUUUACAUUGUGUUGUUCUAUUGGUACUUUUACUCAAGUAAAGAGUAUUUCUUCCA
This is an RNA transcript of Scatophagus argus, 12940 nucleotides long. It is a transcript of the gene named ligand-dependent corepressor, with no coding region annotated. NCBI's taxonomy places the organism in Eukaryota, Metazoa, Chordata, Actinopteri, Scatophagidae. The transcript has 8 exons. The record is from RefSeq and is a predicted model, not a curated record.